ACAUGCCAGCUCUUAUACUACAAUGGAUGCAUGAGGCAGCAAGUAGGUCGAAGGUGUCUUUAUCCUACAACAUGAUCCUAACCCUCAUCUUCAAAGAGCAUGGCAUGGAGCCUAAAGGGGAGACGUCCAGAGCUCUUAUGCAUAUUGACACAUUCAAUGAUCAUUCUAUACAUUGCAUGGAAUACCAAAAGAUAGACGAUCAUUAGUUGUGUCAAGAAGCUAC
RNAcentral lists this long non-coding RNA (223 nucleotides) under Elaeis guineensis (African oil palm). Its description in RNAcentral is "long non-coding RNA (EGUI_LNC064293)". The record is from RNAcentral. Lineage: Eukaryota; Viridiplantae; Streptophyta; Magnoliopsida; Arecales; Arecaceae.